Molecule: long non-coding RNA, 284 nt
Filed under: Mytilus galloprovincialis (Mediterranean mussel)
Lineage: Eukaryota; Metazoa; Mollusca; Bivalvia; Mytilida; Mytilidae
Source: RNAcentral
UUUAACUAUUUUGGUAAUUCAAUGUUUGUUUAACAAGUCUUAAGGUUAUAAAAAAUCGUAUGCAGGAAAACAUAGAGAUCAUUUGAAAUUAUUAAGUACCUAUCUCUAUAGCAAACAAUGCACUAAGAAAGAAGUAAAGACCAUACACACUUAUGACUACCAACCCUCCCCCUUAAAAAAAGAAGAAAGUAACAAAGCUGAAGUCACAAGCACACUAACCUUAUUAUACAUACAAUGUAUAUUUGAUAAUACAGUAGAAUGGACAUAAAUAAUAACCCAUACAC